UCUGGUGACCAUACCGGAGGGGCCACACCCGUUCCCAUCCCGAACACGGUAGUUAAGUCCUCCAGGGCCGAUGGUACUUGGGUUUUCCCUGGGAGAGUAGGUCGUCGCCAGAAU
This 114-nucleotide ribosomal RNA is filed under the name Peptococcaceae bacterium BICA1-7. The record is from RNAcentral. Lineage: Bacteria; Bacillati; Bacillota; Clostridia; Eubacteriales; Peptococcaceae.